RNAcentral lists this long non-coding RNA (415 nucleotides) under Homo sapiens (human). RNAcentral describes it as "HSALNT0229425". The record is from RNAcentral. Lineage: Eukaryota; Metazoa; Chordata; Mammalia; Primates; Hominidae.
CCUGUAGUCCCAGCUACUCAAGAGGCUGAGGCAGGAGAAUUGCUUGAACCUGGGAAGUGGAGGUUGCAGUGAGCCAAGAUUGCACCACUGCACUCCAACCUGGGUGACAGAACCAGACUCCAUCAAAACAAACAAACAAACAAACAAAAAACAGCUAGUCUGAUUCCAGGGCACUUGGUGGGAGGCAGCACACCUCUGUCCCAACCUCAACUUCCUGGGAGACUCCCCAAAGUGGCAGAGCCCACAAGGGUGUCUCCUUCCUCUGCACCCCAAAUGCGUAAAGUACCCAUCACAGCACUUCCCACAGCCCUUCAUUCACUCUUCCUCCUCCUUCCCCACUCAUUCCUUGACCCUUCUCAUCCCCCAGCUGGGGAGCAGGGGCACAGAGAUGACUUGGACAUGGAUCCGAUCCCAG